UGCAAUUAAAACAGGUUUGGGCAAGGGU
Molecule: non-coding RNA, 28 nt
Filed under: Rattus norvegicus (Norway rat)
Lineage: Eukaryota; Metazoa; Chordata; Mammalia; Rodentia; Muridae
Source: RNAcentral